GCCGCCCUAUCCGCCGGCUCCGCUGCCUCCACCGCCGAGAAGCUCCAGGAUGGCAUCCGCCUCCUCGAAAAGCAGCUUCGCUCCGAAGUCCUCCACCGCCACUCUGACCUCCUCAACCAGCUCUCCUCCCUCAAGGACGCCGAUUCCGCCCUCUCCACCCUCCGCGCCGCCGUCUCCUCGCUCCAGUCUUCCGUUCGCCGUGUCCGCUCUGAGAUUGCCGACCCUCACCGCCAAAUCAAGUCAAAAACCAUCCAGCUCUCCAACCUUCACCGCACCACCGACCUCCUCCAGCACUCCAUUCGCGCAAUUCGAUUGUCGAAGAAAUUGCGAGAUCUCGCCAGUGCUGAUCCCGACAAGCUCGAUCUCGCCAAGGCCGCGCAACUGCAUUGCGAGAUCUUGAGCCUGUGCAGCGAAAACGACCUCGCCGGCAUCGAUAUAAUCAAUGAGGAAUUAGCAUCCGUUUCUGAGAUCGGAUCUCGGUUGAGAUCCGAUGCGAUGAAGGUGUUGGAAAGAGGCAUGGACGGCUUGAAUCAGGCCGAAGUUGGGACCGGACUGCAAGUGUUCUACAACCUUGGUGAGUUGAGGCAGACGGUGGAUGCGUUGAUAAACAAAUACAAGAGCCAGUGUGUGAAGAGCGUGAGUGUGGCAUUGGAUAUGAAGGCCAUUUCUGCAUCGUCUGGUGGAGGUUUUGGGCCAGGGGGGAUUAGGGGGAGUGGGACGCCGCAGAUCGGGGGCGGGGCGAAGGCGAAGGAGGCGCUGUGGCAGAGGAUGGGGACUUGUAUGGAUGAGAUUCAUUCAAUCGUGGUUGCGGUUUGGCACUUGCAGAGGGUGUUAUCGAAAAAAAGAGAUCCAUUUACGCAUGUCUUGUUGCUUGAUGAAGUCAUGCAGGUAAGUGGAAUUUGAUUCUCUUUUGAAACUUGUUUGGUUUUGUGAUUUACUUUGAUUUGUUUUGUUUGGUUGAACAAGAAACGAAAUUCAAAUAUUUAUAGCUUAGAUUUCUUAUUAUUUUGGGGAUUGGGAAAACUUAAGCCUCCACUAAAUUGUGCUUCUAGUAAGUAUACUAAUCUACUCGGCUAGUUGACUCUAGUAUACUGAAACUUUAGUCCUGAUUCAUUACUGCUGAAAUCUUCAAAUGGCUGGAAGAGUAAUAAGCCAUCACUCAAAUAAAAUGAGGAUGCCGAACCUUGAUUGGUUGGUUUAUACUUACUAAGCAUAUUUGGUGCUCUUCAAUAAGUUUGGCGGGUCUAACUGAAGGCAUGUCACUGUUGUAUGAAGGAGAUAAAAGCAACUACUCUUUGGACUUCUAGACAAUUUUUGAAGAAAAUUUAAAGAUGGGAACUUCAGAAAAAGAACUGAAACGGAAUGAAAACAAUAAUUAAAACCAUUGUUUCAACAAAAUAAAAGCUAGUUGUUCUGGAGCUUUUAAAUGAUGUAUUAGCUCUUCUUAAUGUUUGUUACCUUUUGUUUUUUCUGUUUUUUGUUUUUUUGGGGUGGUAAUAUGUGAUUAAAUUUCCCUUUUUUCUGCUGACUUUCUGAAAUUUAAAAGUAUUAUCAGCUGAAUCACUGCCCUUCUGCCUUUUUCUUAUGUUAACUCUUAUUUGCUUAGGAGGGUGAUCCCAUGUUAACAGAUAGAGUUUGGGAAGCACUUGUAAGAUCUUUUGCCAGUCAAAUGAAGUCUACUUUCACUGCAUCAAGUUUUGUCAAGGAGAUAUUUACUGUAGGGUACCCAAAGCUAUUCUCCAUGGUAGAGAAUCUUCUUGAAAGAAUUUCUCGUGACACAGAUGUCAAGGGGGUUCUACCAGCCAUCAGUUCAGAAGGAAAAGAUCAGAUGAUUGCUGCCAUUGAGAUCUUCCAGACAUCUUUCUUGGCCCUCUGUUUGGGUCGCCUGUCAGAUCUUGUUAAUACUGUAUUCCCAGUGUCCAGUCGUGGAAGUGUUCCUUCCAAAGAACAUAUUGCAAGGAUUAUAUUACGUAUUCAGGAAGAGAUUGAAGCAGUCCAGUUGGAUGGUCGUUUGACACUUCUUGUCUUGCGUGAAAUUGGCAAGGUUUUGCUGCUGCUUGCACAAAGAGCUGAAUACCAGGUAAUGUCCUUGUUGUUUGCACAAAAACAGUUAUUAGUACAACAUGUAAACAAAGCUUAAGAUUGUAUCUGUCUGUUCUUAUAUUUCCUGCUUAACUUUUGUUUCAAGUUAAAUGAGUUCCUUCUCACAUGGCUCAUAUCAUACACCUUUUUCUUGUCCUUGUUGCUUGUAGUUUUAGUGUAUUGGGACAAACCUUUUCAGUUUCUAUUUCAACAAUAAGGUAUUAGCGGGCUGUUCAUGAUCUCACAGAGACAAAGAUGGGAAUCAGUAAGACUACAUUAAUCCUGAAAAAAUUAGAAAACUGAGGGAACUAUUAGUCACUAUAUGGGGCCUAAACUGGAGAAAACCUAGUCAAGUAUGGCUGAGAAAGAGAGAGAGAGAGAGAGAGAGAGAGAGAGAGAGAGGGGCUGAGGAAUUUGCUGGUUGAUUGUUUAGGCCUUUUGGUCUUUAGAGGUCUGAUGUCAAUAUUUUAAAAUGCUGGAGUAUGUGUUUGGAACAUAAAAUGAGACAAUUAUAGAGAUUCUUACUGUUAUUUGGAUAUUCGCUUUUAUAUGCAUGAAAUGGUUGUAAAGUGUAGAUAGGAGGUUGGUGAGCUGUCUUAAGUAAGCUGUGUAUUUGUGAUAGAGAAAGACUAAUAGUGAAUAAUAAACCUAAAAAUAGGGGGAACUAAGAAAAUUCUAAAACCUCUGCAAUAGUUCAAAUGAAUAAUAAGGCCUUUUGGUCUUUAGAGGUCUAUUGUCAAUAUUUUAAAAUGCUAGAGCAUGUGUUUGGACAUAAAAUGAGACCAUUAUAGAGAUUCUUACUGUUGUCUGGAUAUUCGCUUUUAUAUACAUGAAAUGGUUUUAAAGUGUAGAUAGGAGGUUGGUGAGCUGUCUUAAGUAAGCUGUGUAUUUGUGAUAGAGAAAGAUUCUUCUCUUGUAAGUUUUGUAGACUGGAUAGGCUCCUAGUUAGGGAAAGUGGUGUGUAUACUCCAUGUAUACUUAGAGGGCACCGGUUUUUGGUGUUUCCUCUUUUCGUUUAAUAUACUUCUUUUACUUAUCAAAAAAAAAAAUAGUGAAUAAUAAACCCAAAAAUAGGGGGAAACUAAGAAAAUUCUAAAACCUCUGCAAUAAUUCAAAUGAAUUAUAAGGCCUUUUGGUCUUUAGAGGUCUGUUGUCAAUAUUUAAAAUGCUAGAGUAUGUGUUUGGAACAUAAAAUGAGACAAUUAUAGAGAUUCUUACUGUUGUCUGGAUAUUUGCUUUGGGAUAGAGAAAGACUAAUAGUGAAUAAUAAACCUAAAAAUAGGGGGAAACUAAGAAUAUUCUAAAACCUUUGCAAUGAUUCAAAUGAAUAAUAGUGAUCCUGAUAAUAAAAUGAAAUUUAAGAAAUAGAAACAACAUAAGAAAGGUCAAAUGUAAAUAGAAAGGGAAGUGUAUAACACUUGAGUGCAUAGUGGAAAUGUUUAAUGAAGAAAUUCACUAGGGAGCUAUCCCCCGAAGGCAUUUUCUGUUUUAUGGGCUUUCUUCAGUUGCACGAGUAGUUUGGAGAACUCAUCUCCAAAUUUUCCUUCUCUGUUUCCUUUUCCUUCUCCUUCCCCUCAUUUGACUGGAUAAAAACAGAUACUGGCUGCAGGGUUCUUCCUGGACCUAUCUAUAUAAGUUCAUUUUCCUACUAUCUGGAGACCUUUCUUGUAUAACCUAGUAUGAGCUUUUCCUCUUGGCAAUCAUAUAAUUGGAGGUUUGAGGUUCGGCUUUGAUACUUGAUGAAUUGUUGGCUCCAUUUCUACAUGGGAAGAUAAUUUCCAGUCUGCCAUAGACAACAUUAGAACUCUUAAUGAGUUGCUUAAGUAGUAGGUGAGGAUGUGCUUUGAGGAUGAGAAAGUGAUUUGGGAUAUUAAGGACUCUGUUGGCGACUAAGUUCCAAGUACAAUUAGUUUCAGUUAGGUACUUUGUAAGUGUUGUUAGCACAUAAUUUGCAGAUAUCAUGAUCAUUCUCUCCUCUAAUUAUUUGACCAAUGUUGAGGGCUUUGAUGGUAUUUACUUAUUUACUUUUGGACCAUUAGACCUCGUACACUGUUAAGAAAAUGCUAAUGAAUAUACCAUGGUCACCAUCAUUCUUUUUUUUUUUUUUUUUAUAGACAUUAUUCUUUCUAAAUAUUAUUGUUUGCCAUCCUUAUUUUUAUUAUAUUAUCUACAUCAGAAUAAAUGGAUAUCUCUAAAUGAUAGGUAUCUACUGGUCCUGAAGCACGUCAAGUAACAGGUCCUGCAACUCCAUUACAACUUAAGAACUUCACAUUAUGUCAGUAUCUGCAAGAGAUUCAUACUCGAAUAUCAUCUAUGGUAGCAGGACUACCUGCAAUUGCCUCAGAUGUUUUGUCUCCAGCACUAGGUGCCAUAUAUGGUAUUGCCUGUGAUUCAGUGACAUCCUUAUUCCAAGCCAUGCUUGACCGUCUCGAGUCAUGCAUUUUGCAAAUCCAUGAGCAGAAUUUUGGUGUGCUUGGCAUGGAUGCUGCUAUGGACAAUAAUGCAUCGCCUUACAUGGAGGAGUUGCAAAAGUCUAUCAUUCACUUCCGUGGUGAAUUCCUAUCUAGGCUGUUGCCUUCUAAAACAAAUUCCAUUUCUACAGGGACGGAAACCAUAUGCACUCAGCUUGUUAGGACAAUGGCUUCACGGGUUCUGAUUUUCUUUAUCAGGCAUGCCUCUCUUGUAA
Molecule: long non-coding RNA, 4768 nt
Filed under: Vitis vinifera (wine grape)
Lineage: Eukaryota; Viridiplantae; Streptophyta; Magnoliopsida; Vitales; Vitaceae
Description: long non-coding RNA (VVIN_LNC003645)
Source: RNAcentral